UACGAAGGGGGCUAGCGUUGCUCGGAUUUACUGGGCGUAAAGGGCGCGUAGGCGGAUAGUUAAGUUGGGGGUGAAAGCCCGGGGCUCAACCUCGGAAUUGCCUUCAAUACUGGCUAUCUUGAGUGUGAGAGAGGUGUGUGGAACUCCGAGUGUAGAGGUGAAAUUCGUAGAUAUCGUGAGGAACACCAGAGGCGAAGGCGACUACCUGGACAAUUGCUGACACUCAGGCACGAAAGCAUGGGGAGCAAAAGGG
Molecule: ribosomal RNA, 253 nt
Filed under: uncultured bacterium
Lineage: Bacteria
Description: partial 16S ribosomal RNA
Rfam family: Bacterial small subunit ribosomal RNA
Source: RNAcentral